AAGACACACAAAGGUGAUCGCAGCCGAACAGCCGCACACAGCAACAAGCAGAAAGACACAGGGAGACUCAAAGCCGCAUCCAGACAGGCACGGGGACCACCGCCUCUGGGGAGCGUCGCGAGCCCUCCGGAGAGGCAGCAGCAGCAGCCCGCUGCUGUGAACUGUUGAAUCUAAAUGCAACCUCUGCGAAGCUCCAUUCCUCAAGAAGGGAAAAAAACAAAAAACAAGGAUAGGGCUUGGGGGUGCUCAGUUUCUGUAGGAAAAUAUUUUUUUCAAAAUGCCAGUGUGUGGUGGUGUUCAGGGAUCACAGAGGAGAGGGGUGGAGUAGGCUGCUCUUCAAACAUAGCUCCUCUUCUGGCAGACGCACCACCUAGUCCUGGGAGAGAGGCAGGCACCGGCCCGCUAGGUAACAGUUUCGUGAUUUAUUGGUUGGGGGAAGGGGUAGGAGGGAGGGGAAAAUGAAAACAAAAGAACUUUUUAAAAAAAAAAUAAAAACGAGGACGGGGUUACGGUGACAUGAUUUAUAACGCCAACCCCCGCGAGUCCAUCCAAGAAAUUCCACCGCGAAGACUUGGGUCCUUAAAUCUACCAGCAGAGAGGCAUCCAAAGGUUGGAGAAAGGGGGAGGGAGGAGGGAAGAGCGAUAUUGAGGUUCCUACGUAAACCGCAAUGCCCAAAAUCUCAAAAUAAGAAGUCGAUCCAAGCCGAGAGGGACAAAUGACUUCAAAGCUCCUGCGCUUGGGCUAGAAGUUGAGCAGCAUCCAGAGAGCAGCGAAGCCCGAGUGCCAGCAUCCGCCCGGAGCGCUCGCCACCGCCGCCUCCCAGAUCAGCAUGCAACAGCGAUCCGCGGCUGCGCCGCCGAGAGGGCGGGAGCGCGAGCUGGCGGGCGGCGAGCACCGGCGGGCGAGGAACAGGUUGCAGCCGAGCCUCGAGGCGGCCUGGCAGCACGCUUGUCCACAGACCGAACUUCCUCACUAACGGCGGGGCACACCAUCCUCUGCGUUUUCCUGUCUUGGCUCAACACAUGGUCCUGUCCAAAUCCUCCCAACUCGAGCGAUGGAAGGGAGGAAGGAAAGGAGGGGCUGAGGAAGGAAACAAAGACACUGACCAAAGCCCGGAGGUUGGAAACCAUGGCUUUCUGCCAUGUGAGGACACUGCCAUCAGCUACUCUGGAGGAAGCAGCAUUCAAGGAAGCAAAGACCAUGUCCUCGACAAACAUUGAACCUUCCAGUGCUUUGAUCUUUGACUUCUCAGCCUCUGUAACUGUGAGAAAUAAAUCUGUGCUGUUUAUAAAUUACCCGGUCUAGAGUAUUUUGUUACAGGAGCAAAAAUAGACUAAGACAACCUUACUGCAAGAGAUAAGCUGAAGGAGAAAUUGUAGCCUGAAACUUAUGACUAGAUGAGGAGAAGUUCAAGGGCCCAGAGCAGAAGAGUAGGGAGUCACUCAGGACUUGAUAAGAGCCAAGCAGUAGACACAAAGCCUCCUCCAACCUUUACCUGGGAACGGCAGGCUUUGUGUGAACUACAGAUCCCCCUGUAACCACUUGGCCAUCAAGGCUAUGGAGAACAGAUGGCACAGACAAAAUCAAUCACAGAAGGUCCCCAAAUGUCCUCCCCUUGGUGGUAUGCCUCUCAGGGGAAAAGGUAUUGUUGCCACAGUGCCCUAGGAACCUAUUAGAAACUAAAUCAAGGCCAGAUGUGGCAGCUCACGCCUGUAAUCCCAGCAUUUUGGGGAGCCAAGAUGGGAGGAUCACUUGAAGCCAGGAGUUUGAGAUCAGC
Long non-coding RNA from Callithrix jacchus (white-tufted-ear marmoset), 1778 nucleotides. NCBI's taxonomy places the organism in Eukaryota, Metazoa, Chordata, Mammalia, Primates, Cebidae. The record is from Ensembl.